RNAcentral lists this ribosomal RNA (501 nucleotides) under Acampsis alternipes. Its description in RNAcentral is "eukaryotic LSU rRNA". It matches the Rfam family "Eukaryotic large subunit ribosomal RNA", at positions 386 to 736 of the family's 3401-position model. The record is from RNAcentral. Lineage: Eukaryota; Metazoa; Arthropoda; Insecta; Hymenoptera; Braconidae.
CCUGAGAAACCCAAAAGAUCGAAUGAGGAGAUUCAACGUCAGCAUGUACAGUAUUCACGUGAGUAGUGAUGCGCGCACAUUUUCAUGUUUUUUUAUUGCUGUGCUAUUGUCGGCGUGCACUUCUCCUCUAGUAGAACGUCCCGACCUGUUGGGUCUCAGCCUACGGCCUAGACUUUGAUACAUUAAUUUAUAUUGAAGACCUCUGGUAUUGAAGACCUCUGGUGUCUCCCGGUCUGAGUGCCCGACGGAGUAUUGAGCCGCAUCUAGAAAUGCGUCUAUGCGUCUAGCCUGUUGCAAGCUUGGUUAGUUGUCAUACGUAGGCAUUGCUCUAUGUAUGCGGACGGUGUUCUUAGACUGGCCUAUCAAUACCUGUCAGGGACGCUUAGGCUUUGGGUACUCUCAGGACCCGUCUUGAAACACGGACCAAGGAGUCUAACAUGUACGCGAGUCAUUGGGUAUAUAUUUUCUAAACCUAAAGGCGAAAUGAAAGUAAAAGCUGGA